UUUAAUUAAACACGAGGAAGAUGGGAUCAUUCGGGUAAGUAUUUAGUAUUGUUUAUUGUUUGUUUUUAAGUUGAGUUGAAACGAAAAAUUAUUUUGUUUAACUGAAAAUGUUGUAAAAAUGUAUAAUAUUAGUGAUUUUAAGUUUUUGUGAUUGUUUUGUGUAUUUUUUCUUAAAUUAUAAAGUGAUUGUAUAUUUGCGAAUGAAUUUAAUAGAAUUUUUGGAAAGAAAUCUGUAAGAAAAAUGUGUUAAGUUAUAUGUAAACAAAAUUAUUUGGAUUUUUUGACAAAUUGUAUGACAAGUGAUUUUAGUUGGUAUUAAAUUCUAAAUUUUACUGGAUCAUAUUAGAUGUUGUCAUCGCUGAAGAAAUUAGUGAGUUAGAAAUUAAUUAUCUGGUACGAUUAAAAAAAUGUAUUUGUAAUGAGUGAGUAAUUGUUGUAUGAAAUGUGUAUUAAGUGUGUUUGAAUGUUGGUAUGAUAUAAGUUGUCUUUGCGACAUGUGUAUGAAAUGUAUAUUAAGAAAGUAUGAAUUUCGUUUGUAGUCGUGUCUGAUGAAAUGUAUGAAAAGUUUUUUUAAUGUUGUAUUGAUGGUGAAAUUUUAUGUAGACAUUUGUGUAUAAAGUUUUUUGUUAUUAAAUAAGUAUUUGUUGUAUGAUUUAUGUAUUAUAGUAGUAUGAAAGUGCUUGGAAUGUACUAUUUGAAUGAUAUUUGUAAGAAUUGUUUGUUUAAUUAAAUAUAAAAAUUGUUCUGUAAUAUUUUGUUUGUUUGAAUGAUAUUUAUAUUUCGAAUUGUUUGUU
This 794-nucleotide long non-coding RNA is filed under the name Solanum tuberosum (potato). Its description in RNAcentral is "long non-coding RNA (STUB_LNC003771)". Lineage: Eukaryota; Viridiplantae; Streptophyta; Magnoliopsida; Solanales; Solanaceae. The record is from RNAcentral.